CAUAAAUGAAAGUGAAAGUAAAUGCACAGAGCUGAUGUCGCCAUUUUAAAAAGACAGAAUCUUUACAAUAAUGAUUUACAAUACAGAAUAUCUUUAAUAGAAUCGUUUAUAAAUGCUAAAGCAGGAAUUUGUGUGCAGCUACCUGAUGGGAAUGUGAAUCGGUAUAUAAGUAAGAUAUGUGUUUCGUGCUGACUGCGAUUCUUCAAAACUCUAAACAGCAUGUGUUCACAUGUGACUAACUUUAUGUAUUUGAGUGAAGGCAGCUCGUAAUCUAUUUCUCCAAUUAUUUCUCUCAUUCAGCCGAAAUAUUGUGCCUUAUUGUUUUUUAAUGUAAGAACGUGCGAGGCUUCCGGUGUGUGUCAUUUACUUCCGGAUAUUUAGCUGUACAAAAACACUAUGUUAUGCUGCUUGAUAUCGCACACUGGUAUUUAUCUAAUUUUUAAAAUUCAUUAUUAUAGACACACUGGUUUGUAGCACACAUUGUUUUUUUUCCCCAUUCUUCUAGUAUUUAACUAUAGCUGCUGAUGCAUCAAAAGUCUCGCUCAUUCACAGAAAAUAGCUUACUUCCAAAAUAAGGUGGAUAAAGGCUGUUUGGUUGGCUUAGUUUUUGUGAUUGUUUGUCAGUUUCAUCUAGAGUCAGCGCCGGAGAUCAAACUGUUCAGAUCCAUCAUGGAUGAAACAUCUGGAGAUGAAGAUUUGUUUCCAGGACGCAGCUCGGUUCAUCAGAAGAGAUCAGAAGCAGAGUCCAGCUGUGUGUCUGUGAAGAGUGACUGGUCUAUGAUUGAGCCAAUAAUGUUUAACAGUGGAGAAAAACAGCCUGUUCUUAGGCCACACCCCCUACAUGCACUGUGCAUUCCUCCAUAACAUGGACAGAUCAUUUCUUGAAUCCUGCACACACAAUAUCAAAAUGUCCAUCUUGGUGAGUAUUCAUGUAAAUUACAUAAAUAUUACAAAAAAUGAUGUUUAAAACUUCCUUGUGCUGUGUG
RNAcentral lists this long non-coding RNA (986 nucleotides) under Sinocyclocheilus anshuiensis. Its description in RNAcentral is "lncRNA (ENSSANG00000039151.1)". Lineage: Eukaryota; Metazoa; Chordata; Actinopteri; Cypriniformes; Cyprinidae. The record is from RNAcentral.